CUCUGCUAAUUUUUUUUUAUCGACCAGCAGCAGAGCCGGACCUUUAUCAAGGGGAUAUACACACUGGGAUCUUCACAGGGUGCUUACGAGCAGACUUUGACCUUUUUUCGAUUUGUCGAGGUGAGAGCUCAAUAUUUUCCCUCCGAUUAGUUGUGAACACUAGGUGUAAAAACGAACGAACUUUUCCUUCUCGCUUGCCAGUUUCAGUAUCCGAAAUGAUUGCAACGGAAAGCACUUGGUUUGUCUUUUGGUUCCACUCUUGAAGUAUACCCUCUACGCUUGCUCGUCCAAUCAUUAUUUUGGAGCAUUCGCGAUGUAGAUCUUUUCUAGACCAUCCUCAAGUUUGUUUUUCUCAUAUUCUCACACAUUGAAUUGGAGCUCCACUAGUUUUACUGCGCUUGGAAGACGCUGAUUACGGGGACGCAUUCUGAACCCUCUUUUCCCAUCGAAUGUUUCGUUGCACCUUUGAUGUUCCUGCUUCCCGCUUUUCUUCCUGCUAAUGUUUUUGAAGCCCAUCAUGACGUAUGGCAUCUCAGCGUAGCGUAGCGGCUCAGUACCCACUCCCUCUGGAGGAGCCAAGCAGUUCCCCCUAUCCCUUGCGAGUGUCAACCCUCUGCUUGUAGUGACAGGGCCAAGCACCUGCGACGUGGUGAGGUCAGAGCGAUGUGUCGCUGCUGAUGCCGGCGGUGCGCUUCUUGAUGGCGCUGCGUCGGAGAGAGCUGCAACUAUGCAGCCGUUUGUGCCAUGUGUGUGUGACGGGCAGGGUGCCCACGUGACCCCGAUGUGUCCCACCUGGCCCCCACUGCCCACUGGUGAGGGAGCCCGCGCCACCCCGAGGGGAGAUGCAGCAGGGGGCGGCCGGCAUGAUGGGUGAGCGGCUGCGAGGCGCCCUGCUCAGUGGGUGGUGUUUGGGGCCGAGAUCACGCACUGGUGACCGAGUCGGCGCACUGCCGCAACGUGUGUCUAGCGCUGCUUUGCAGCAGGCGGUGGGCGUGCAGCCGGCCUGGGGCAGAGUUGUGCUGGGCCCAUGCCCCCUGGCAGAGAAUGAAUAUAAAAAAAAAUGGACUGCAACAAUGAGAAGACGAUGUGAAUACAGUAUUCAAAAGGGACGACAACAAAGAACACGCGUACUGUUUCACAGAAGAAGUUGUGUGCGUGGUAUCUUCCGAAUCGCGGCUUCUCUCUUACCCCCUUUUUCGACGAUUGCAGGUUAGGGCCCGAUAUGUACGUCGGGACUGCGACUGUCUUACAGGCUUGGUCGACUUUCAACCUUCAAGGUGUUUCUACUUCUGCCCGGUCUUUUCUCUGUUACUGGUUUCCUGUCUUUUAUUAAAUUUCCUGGCACACAAUGCGAUGGGUAUGGUACUUCGGCACAG
This 1376-nucleotide unclassified non-coding RNA is filed under the name Leishmania donovani. RNAcentral's name for it is "gene:unknown". The record is from RNAcentral. Lineage: Eukaryota; Euglenozoa; Kinetoplastea; Trypanosomatida; Trypanosomatidae.